RNAcentral lists this transfer RNA (73 nucleotides) under Phycisphaerae bacterium. Its description in RNAcentral is "tRNA-Glu". It matches the Rfam family "tRNA". From Rfam's summary of the family: Transfer RNA (tRNA) molecules are approximately 80 nucleotides in length. Their secondary structure includes four short double-helical elements and three loops (D, anti-codon, and T loops). Further hydrogen bonds mediate the characteristic L-shaped molecular structure. tRNAs have two regions of fundamental functional importance: the anti-codon, which is responsible for specific mRNA codon recognition, and the 3' end, to which the tRNAs corresponding amino acid is attached (by aminoacyl-tRNA synthetases). tRNAs cope with the degeneracy of the genetic code in two manners: having more than one tRNA (with a specific anti-codon) for a particular amino acid; and 'wobble' base-pairing, i.e. permitting non-standard base-pairing at the 3rd anti-codon position. Lineage: Bacteria; Pseudomonadati; Planctomycetota; Phycisphaerae. The record is from RNAcentral.
GGCCCCAUCGUCUAGUGGCCCAGGACUCCGGGUUUUCAUCCCUGAAACAGGGGUUCGAGUCCCCUUGGUGUCA